Molecule: ribosomal RNA, 253 nt
Filed under: uncultured bacterium
Lineage: Bacteria
Description: partial 16S ribosomal RNA
Rfam family: Bacterial small subunit ribosomal RNA
Source: RNAcentral
UACGAAGGGGGCGAGCGUUGUUCGGAUUUACUGGGCGUAAAGGGCGCGCAGGCGGCUCAUUUUGUCAGGCGUGAAAGCCCCGGGCUUAACCUGGGAACUGCGUUUGAUACGGAUGGGCUAGAGUUCGGGAGAGGAGAGUGGAAUUCCCAGUGUAGAGGUGAAAUGCGCAGAUAUCAGGAAGAACACCCGUGGCGAAAGCGGCUCUCUGGAACGGUACUGACGCUGAGACGCGAAAGCGUGGGGAGCGAACAGG